This 425-nucleotide ribosomal RNA is filed under the name uncultured bacterium. RNAcentral describes it as "partial 16S ribosomal RNA". It matches the Rfam family "Bacterial small subunit ribosomal RNA", at positions 354 to 796 of the family's 1533-position model. The record is from RNAcentral.
GUGGGGGAUAUUGCACAAUGAGGGAAACCCUGAUGCAGCGACGCCGCGUGAAGGAAGACGUACUUCGGUAUGUAAACUUCUAUCAGCAGGGAAGAAGAUGACGGUACCUGACUAAGAAGCCCCGGCUAACUACGUGCCAGCAGCCGCGGUAAUACGUAGGGGGCAAGCGUUAUCCGGAUUUACUGGGUGUAAAGGGAGCGUAGACGGUGAAGCAAGUCUGAUGUGACAACCCGGGGCUCAACUCCGGGAUUGCAUUGGAAACUGUUUUACUUGAGUGCUGGAGGGGCAAGCGGAAUUCCUGGUGUAGCGGUGAAAUGCGUAGAUAUCAGGAAGAACACCGGUGGCGAAGGCGGCUUGCUGGACAGUAACUGACGUUGAGGCUCGAAAGCGUGGGGAGCAAACAGGAUUAGAAACCCCGGUAGUCC